Molecule: long non-coding RNA, 1766 nt
Filed under: Vulpes vulpes (red fox)
Lineage: Eukaryota; Metazoa; Chordata; Mammalia; Carnivora; Canidae
Description: lncRNA (ENSVVUG00000012106.1)
Source: RNAcentral
UUAGAGCCUGAUGAUAUUUGAGUGAUCAGAAGAUUUUGAAUUCUUGAAAGUGUAAAGUCAGCAAUCAGAGCUGGAAUGAUGGUGAAUUAACUAGGAUGCAGCAGCCCUGUGAGAUCUGGCCAAAGCAUCAUCUGGGGAGUCUCAGCCAUUUAUUAGAAUUGUGCCAAGUGGCUUAGAACUUCAGUGUGGUAGCACAUUUGAGAUGGGAGAGAUUAGUGUGUAUGGAUUUAAUCAGAGGCAGGGAAUUUUGGUGGCAUUUGAAGGAGGAGUAGAAUUGGACUAGGUAGAGAUAAGAAUUGUGUUUUACUGGAUAGAGGCGCAGCACAAACAAAGAUAGUAAGAGAAAGAUCAUAGGAAAAUAUUUUGGAAGAGGAGACUACUGUAUUACAAACCACAAGAUGGGGAUUAGUCAAAUCAGCUUAGAUAAAUAAGAUGGAGAAGAUCUAGAUUGGGAGAAAGAGGUGGGGAGAAAAAGGAAGCAAGAGGUGGAAAAUAGGGAACUACAUCAUGUUCUUGGAACGGAGACUAGCACGCUUAAUGGGCUGUUUGGCGAUGAUCAUUCUUAUUGGCAGGGUGAGUAAUGGUGGGGCAAGAAGAUCAGGCUGGGAAGUGUUUAGCUGAUGGUGAUGAAGGCUCCAGUUGUGGGAUGAGUGUAGGAAUGGAGAAAAAGGAGUCUUUUAAAUAAAGAGAUAUAUUGAUAGACUGGAUUCAGAGCGUUGAGGCAAAGAGGAAAUUUAUUUUAUUUUUUUAUUCAUUUAUGACAGUCACAGAGAGAGAGGCAGAGACAUAGGCAGAGGGAGAAGCAGGCUCCAUGCACCGGGAGCCCGACGUGGGAUUCGAUCCCAGGACUCCAGGAUCGCACCCUGGGCCAAAGGCAGGCGCUAAACCGCUGUGCCACCCAGGGAUCCCGGCAAAGAGGAAAUUUAAAGAUGACUUCAAGUUUCCUAGUCUCGGAGAGACUUCAUUUGGAUUACAAAGACCUGAGAUGCCAAAUGUCAGCAAGUGAAAUGUGCCUGCAUGAUACUAAUUCCUGUAAUGACCAGAGCUAAGUAAUGUUCCAGUUACCUCAAAUACAGUUGGACGUCAAGAACUCCAUAAAAUUACUGAGAGAACAAUUUUUCAGGAUUUCCCAGGAAACUCACUUUUUCUAUCCCAGUAGCUUAUAUACACCUUAGAGCAGAAAUUCCUUACCUGUGACAAUCUUCCCAGCAGGAGGUGAGCUCUCAGGUAGCAUAGAUGGAAUGCUUCUUUGUUCGCUGUCACAUAUCCAGUGCUUGAUAUAGUGCCUGGUACAUUAAAGAGUGUGUGUGUGUGUGUGUGUGUGUGUGUGUGUUGAAUGAAUGAAUGAAAAAGGAGAAUCAGUCAGUGUUAUUAAGACCACUCCUAAGAGCAGACUACUUUUUUUGCUCUGUGUCUAUAGGAAAGACCUUCUCUCUGCCACAUUUUUCUCAAGCUAGGCAGGAAUUAUAUAAUAUAGUGCUUCUCUUAUGAUUUGAUAGUACAGGUAUUUUCCAACAUGUCUGUGUAUGUCUUCUGCACUAACAGUUCAGGUUAGAUGGUUACCUGGAAGGGUUCCUAAGCUGGUGUUGCUGAGCUCUUUCUCUAUGGAACACUGACUAGCCUUUAUAUAAACCCUCCUGGGGUAGAAAUGUCUUCCCAUAAUACUUUCCCUACACAUUGUGCCUACUCAUCCAAGAUGAAUCAUAUUUCAAUAUGAAUGUGCCCUAUGAGGUUUGGCUCCCAAGUUUGUGAGUGGAAAGGGAAAA